AAGAAAAUUACGGGAGAGACUGACUGACAGCACCGAAGGAAUAAAUAAUAAUUGGCGCACCCUUUAUUAUGAAGAUCUCAGGUAAACGGACCGUAAUUGGACA
Enterococcus sp. is the source of this 103-nucleotide non-coding RNA. The record is from Rfam. NCBI's taxonomy places the organism in Bacteria, Bacillati, Bacillota, Bacilli, Lactobacillales, Enterococcaceae.